CGGGGCGUUGCCUAGUGGCUAUGGCGCUUGCUUUGGGAGCAAGAGAUCGCGCGUUCGACUCGCGCCGCCCCGA
RNAcentral lists this transfer RNA (73 nucleotides) under Spirochaetaceae bacterium. RNAcentral describes it as "tRNA-Pro". It matches the Rfam family "tRNA". Rfam says of the family: Transfer RNA (tRNA) molecules are approximately 80 nucleotides in length. The record is from RNAcentral. Lineage: Bacteria; Pseudomonadati; Spirochaetota; Spirochaetia; Spirochaetales; Spirochaetaceae.